CAGUAGCCGCGGUAAUACGUAGGGUGCGAGCGUUAAUCGGAAUUACUGGGCGUAAAGCGUGCGCAGGCGGUUGUGUAAGACAGGUGUGAAAUCCCCGGGCUUAACCUGGGAACUGCGCUUGUGACUGCACAGCUAGAGUAUGGCAGAGGGGGGUGGAAUUCCACGUGUAGCAGUGAAAUGCGUAGAGAUGUGGAGGAACACCGAUGGCGAAGGCAGCCCCCUGGGCCAAUACUGACGCUCAUGCACGAAAGCGUGGGGAGCAAACAGGAUUAGAUACCCCGGUAGUCCCUGUCCUUAUACA
RNAcentral lists this ribosomal RNA (301 nucleotides) under uncultured bacterium. RNAcentral describes it as "partial 16S ribosomal RNA". It matches the Rfam family "Bacterial small subunit ribosomal RNA", at positions 509 to 809 of the family's 1533-position model. The record is from RNAcentral.